GGGAGGUCGGUGUGAGAGCCCUGUGCUACAGGUCAAUGAGGAAGAGUGAGGCACCACCACACAGACUAAGUAUUAAGCUUCUGGAUUCAUCGCUGGUGGUACUGACACAUAGCCAGUGCUCCUGUGUGGCAGGUGCUGUUAUGUGCAAUCACACAGUGGCACUGCUCUUCCAAACAGCACACUACUCACAACUCAGAGUGCCGGUUAUCCCCCCUGUGCAUAGCUGCACCGAAUCUGAACAGCAAUGGCACAAGCCACGGACAGUGGGUGUGAAGCCAGGACCUAUCAACUCUAUGAUCUUCACUAAGCCGGUACCAAAUAGGAUGGCCCAGACUGGAGCACGGAGUGGAUUCUACAGAGGCACUGUGGGUCCAUUACCAGAUCCCUGACCUGACAAGCCCCUUGUGGAAAGUGCCUUUGGGCUGGUGAAGGAGGGCAGUGUUCUGCCAUGUCAGCAGCCGGUUUUGACAACCCGGCACAUCACACUACACCGUGAU
Molecule: long non-coding RNA, 497 nt
Organism: Oreochromis aureus
Lineage: Eukaryota; Metazoa; Chordata; Actinopteri; Cichliformes; Cichlidae
Source: Ensembl